Molecule: non-coding RNA, 58 nt
Organism: Dipodomys ordii (Ord's kangaroo rat)
Lineage: Eukaryota; Metazoa; Chordata; Mammalia; Rodentia; Heteromyidae
Source: Rfam
UGGCUCAGUGGUAGAGCGCUUGCCUCACACGCAUGAGGCCCUGGGUUCAAUUCCUCAG